This 42263-nucleotide long non-coding RNA is filed under the name Lactuca sativa (garden lettuce). RNAcentral describes it as "long non-coding RNA (LSAT_LNC008728)". Lineage: Eukaryota; Viridiplantae; Streptophyta; Magnoliopsida; Asterales; Asteraceae. The record is from RNAcentral.
UCAUUUUUCCAAGUAAGCAUGAUUCGCAACUAUCAUCUGACUUUAGGUCAAACGACUCCAAGACUCCAUCCUUUUGGAGUUGGCCUAUGCGUUUCUUGCUUAUAUGUCCAAGACGACAAUGCCAUAAAGAUGCUUUAUCCAAGUUAUUAUUAGUAGAAUCAAUACACAAAACAUUAUUUCCCAAGUUAUCUACAACAGAUACAGCUUCAUACACACCAUCACAAGGUAAUGCUUUAAAAUAAAAGACAUUAUUAUAGAAAACAUCUAUAGAACCAACUUCAUUAUUAAAUGAAAAGGUAAACCCUUGUUUGUACAAAGCAUGAAAGGAAAUAAUAUUUCUUGCCAUUCCUGGCGAAUAACAACACUUAUUCAAAUCUAAACUAAACCCACUACUUAGCGAUAAAGUAUAAACUCCAAUCUUGGUAACAGGUAUAGCUUUCCUAUUCCCCAUGAUCAAGUUUAUCCUUCCUUGCUCCACAUCCUCACUUCUUCUUAGUCCCUGCAAGUCACAACAAAUGUGAAUACCACACCCGGUAUCAAGGACCCAAGAAUUAGAAUGGGGUGAGUUAUUAGAAAUGAUAGUGUAAAUACCUGCAUGGUUGGGUUUAACUUUCCCAUCCUUCACAUCUUGCUGGUAUUUUGGGCAGUUCCGCUUCCAAUGAGCUUUUUCAUGGCAAUAGAAGCAUUCAGCCUCUUUUGGGUCAGAAGAAGGAGUAAUGAAACCUUUCUUGGUUCCACUUGAAGAAGAGCCAUCAAGGGUCCGAACCUUGGUACCCUUAGAAGAGCUCUUUCUCUUCCUCCCUCGACUUUUCCCGAUUGCCAAAACCGGAGUAGAGUUUUGAGUAGGAGUGAUAGCAACCGACUUCCCCUUAAGACCUGAUUCUGCGGUCUUGAGAAGUCCCUGAAGUUUGCUGAGGGUGACUUCUUCCUUGUUCAUGUGAUAUGUCAUGCGGAAUUGAUCAUAGCACGAUGGUAAGGAAUGCAAAAUAAUAUCUAUUGCAAGAUCCUCCGGGAAGUUCACAUUAAGCUUCAGCAAACGAUCCACAUACCUUUGCAUUUUCUGCAUGUGGCUCGUGACGGAUUCCCCGUCCUUCAUCAUGGUUGUUAUCAUGGAGCAGAUGAUUUCAUACCUCUCUUGUCUUGCACUUUGAUGGUAUCUUUCCAUCAAAUCUUGGUGCAUUUCAUAAGGGUAGAAAUCCUCAUAAGACUUUUGGAGUUCCGCUGUCAUCGUGGCCAUCAUGAUGCAAGCCACUUUCGUAGCAUCCCUUUCAUGUGCCCGAAAUUCAGCGAUCUCCUGAGGAGUUGCAGUGGACUCAUCAAUCUCCUUAAGCUCCUUGUCAAGGACAUAUUCUUUGUCCUCGUAGCGGGUAAUCAUCCUGAUGUUUCUGAUCCACUCAUUGAAGUUGGAUCCAUCAAAGGUGACUUUCCCACACAAGUUCAUAAGGGUAAAGGAGCCAUUAGGAUUAGAGCCAGAAGCAUUGUUGAAAGACAUCUGAAGGAAAGAGGACAAGAUUAGUUUAGAUAUAAGAGAGUCCUUAAUAAAACACCCAAAUGUAAUAUUAAGGCUAGGAUCCAAUCACAAUAUAAUAUAACUUAGAAGAGGUAUGCCGUAAUCUAAGCUAUAUCAUAUUUGAAAGGUAGGUGAAUGACGAUUCACCAAUUUCCACCACGAAAACCGCAAUAUUUUAGUAUUAGGUUUUUGAAUGGUUCUUAGAAAUUCCUAGAUUCUUUGAGAUUCAAUGAACUUUUCAAAGGCAUGUUUCAAUCUCGAGUGUGCCCUCCAAGUUUUGUGACUGGGAUACCGAGGAUCACAAAACGAGGUGUGAAGUAACCAUGCAAAUCACUUGGUACCCUUAAAGUUUAUCACUCAAUCGAUGUGCCGGUUAACCACACACGCUCCAUCGAUACUAUAAUAAACCCUAAGUCACCCUUUACCUACCUUGUUAAGUCCAAGUUAGUGUGCCGGUUAACCACACACGCUCCACCAACGACUUAAUCAAAGUGUAAAGUGUAAUUUCAUGGAAUAGCACCUUAUUCACAUUUUUCCUAAAGUAACUAAGAUUGGGAAUUUAAUAAAACAUUUAGUUACUUUAUAAUAUUCAUCAUACUUUGAAUGAGAAUUAAUAAGUCCUUGUCUUACCCGUUCGGCUAACGACCCUCCACCGAUCAAGCAAGCGGUGGGUGAGAGUGGACACCCAUUAAGUCACCAUUUUAUAGGCAACAACCUUAUACCCACCUUAUAGACCGGCUUCGUGAAUGAGGCGUACUAGCGGUAAGACGACUUUGUUCUUAUACAUAUAUAUAUAAUUAUUAAAUCAUAAUAAUAUAAGUAUAAGGGUUGAAUUUUAACUUUUAAAAUUCUAGGGGUUGGAACUAAAGUUUUAACUUAACUUUACUUGUUCCAAAACUUGAGGGCAAGUUUUGUAAACUUUCAAAACUUUUCAUUUCUUGUAACUUAUGAGUUUAAUAGAGUAAUAAAAUGAGGACUUUUCAUUUUUCCUAACUCUUGUGUUCUUUUAAUGUUUUUUAAUCCAAGAGACUUUUGGUUUUCCAUAACUUGAGGACAAGUUAUGGACUCCAUUAAAACACAUUAUGAUCAUGAAUUAAUCUACCACAUAGGUUACAAAUAAUUCCUAUGAUCAUCUAAACAUCAUAAGAACAAGAAUAUGAAUAUGAACACUUUCAAGAAUCAAAAUCACAUUUAAUCUUUGUAAUUUUGAUAACUAGUUGUUGUAAAUGAGUUAGAAAAGACAUUACACCUUCUAAAAUAAGUUUUCAAGUACCAAAACAUUUUAGGGUAAUGAUUCUAAUCCAUUUCCAGCAACACAAGUCGAAAUUCUGCACUCUGUCGACCCUACUCGCCGAGUGCAUAAACCUACUCGCCGAGUAGGUUGAAGAUACACAUGAACUCGUCGAGUCCUCCCCAUGGACUCGCCGAGUCCAUCAGUCAGACAGCAAGAUUUUCGACUUUCUUCAACUUUUAAGCACAAAUAACAAACAAACAAGCCUAGGCUCUGAUACCACUGAUGGGUUUUGAGCAUUCUAACACUUCCUAAGUGUACAUGCAACCCUAAUAACCUUGGAUCUAUGUUUGUCUAAUUAUCAUGCAAAGUUGAAUUCCAAGGUUAUAUUCCUAUCUAGCAUACAUGGGGAACAAUUUUAACUUGAAUCAUAGAUAGAAUAACUUACCUUGUUGUUGCUUGUGUUCCUUGAAACCUUGUGAGCCUAGCACCCCAAGUGUGAUGCCUCAAAUGCUUCACACAACACCAAAUGCUCUUGGAAAGACUCUUGAGAUAACACACUUCACAAAAAUCGGCCAAGCCCUCUUGUUUCCUUAGUAGUAGUGCCGAUUUUGGUGGAGAAUAUGCUUCUUAUAUAGUGUUGACACAUCUAGGGUUACACCAUGUAAACCCUAAUGUGUCAUGACUCUUCAUUUCCAUGACCCAUGGGUUUGUAACUCCCAUGGAGCAUCCAUGGAGCAUCCUAUGGGUAGAACCCAACUUGAUAAUCCAUGGAGCCUCUUAGCCCACUAUACAAGAUAUGGAUGAUUUACACAAUCAACCCAUAUAUUUAAUUAGUUAUCCUUUGAUCACUUAAUUAAUUCCAAAUUAAUUCUUUGAUCAACUAAUCAAAUAAUAUUAUUAAUAUAUUAGAACUUAUAAUAUAUUAAUAAUCUCCACGUGUUAUUUCUCUCAUUUAGUCUAUCCAAUUGCAUGGUGCCAUGCAACCCAAAUGGACCAUGCCGGGUCGGGUCAAGUACAAGCCCGAAAUAGUUAUGGACUUAGACACCUUAUCCAACACUAUCUUUAUGGGGUUCGGUGUACCAUAUACACGGACCACAAGAGUCUGAAGUACUUGAUGGAUCAGCCAAAUUUGAAUAUGCGAUAGAGGAGGUGGUUGGAUGUGGUGAAGGAUUAUGAUUGUGAGAUCCUGUGCCACCCGGGCAAGGCGAAUGUAGUAGCCGAUGCAUUGAGCCGUAGGGCGGAAAGCGCCCCGAUUCGAGACAUUUGUAUGAGGUUGACGGUGAUGAGAGACCAGUGGCAAUUAGGGAUCAAAAGGUUAAGGUUCUGAGGAACAAGGAAAUACCCUUGGUGCAAGUGCAGUGGUAGCAUCGGAGGGGGUCCGAGCUGACAUGGGAGUCCGAGGCUGAGAUGCAGGAUCAGUAUCCGGAGUUAUUUUCGGUAUCAGACUUCGGGGGUGAAGUCUGGUUCUAGUGGGGGAGAAUUGUAACAGCCCAAAACCCAGGUACCCUUCUAUUUAGCCCUUCAUCUUUGUUAUGUUUCCAUUUAGGGUUUGCAUGUUAGGCGAGUACGCUGGGCGUACAAGGAGUACGCUGCGCGUACUCACACGCUUCAUUUGGACGCGUUCACCAUCAGGUAUGCUGGGCGUACCCAAGGUUACGCGGGGCGCAACCGGUCCAGACCUAAAAACCCUAAUUCAUUCGGAGGGCUAUAAAAGGAAUGUGUGGCUCGACUUCUUAGCCACCAUCCCUCAGAGAGAAACCCUAAUGACAGUGUGUAUCCGUUCUUGGGCCAUUUGUGAGUAUUCUAAGCUUGGUGGUGCUAUUUCAAGGUAGCAAAGGAGAAGAAGAACUCAUUGCGAAGGAUAGAAGUGGUGUUCAAGUGUAGAUCUGAGCUUUGCAACGGUUGAAGCUGAUGGGUUUUGGCUUCUAAUUAAACAUGCUUGUAUAAAAGACUUUAUAAUGACUAAUUAGGUAUAUAACAACACAAAAACCAGAUCUAGAAACAUACCUUUGAUUCUCUUGUUUGUUCUUGUUGUCUUGGAGCUCUAGAGUCACAAUUGUCACUCCUCUAAUGGCUUACAAACACCAACUAGCAAGAGGAUGAUUUGGGAGAGAGAGGAAGAGUAUGAAAUCGGCCAGAGUAUCCUUGCUUAAGAUGGGUGCCGAUUUCAUGAGCCUAGAGGGUCUAUUUAUACUUGUAAGGCUCCUAGGGUUUCACCUUAAACCCUAAUUGGAUAACCUAGAGUCCAAGUUAAUCCAUAUCCUUUCCUUAGAUAACCCCUUGGACGAUUUUGAGCUAUCCUAGGCUCACAAAUCCGUCGAAUCCUUUAUCUAUAAGGAUAUAUAGCCUAAAGUGUAACUAUCAAACAAUUGACAGUUAAUACCCUCAUAUUUAAUUAAUUCCUUUAAGUCACCAAAUUAAUACUAAUUAAUCUAUGACUUAUAUUAAUUAAAUAACUAUAUUAUUAAUCCUUAUAUUAUCUCCAUAAUAUAUUAAUAAUAUAUAUUCUCUCUUAAUAAAUCAUCAUAUCAAGUUGCUAUGGUGAAGGCAACCUAAAAGGACCAUGCACAAUCGGGUCAAGUACUUGCCUAAUAUAGUUGCAGUCUUAGACACUAUUCCAACAGUCUCCCACUUGGAUAAGUCUAGUAACUAUAUGAGCUAGUACAAUUCGAUUUGCGAUCGUAGCUCUCAAAGACGCUGUCAAAAUCUUAUCUAAUCAAUCUUUUCCUUUAGAUAUGGGAUCGUACAGUCCUCUGUUAGAUAUCAUGCUGACAAUUCUAUGGAAUGAUUAGUCAAGCAUUUAGGUUUCUUGAUCUCCGAUUUAUUUGAUAAUCAACUAUACACAACAAUGUGUUUUAUAACAUUGAGUUACCAAUGCGUUUUCGCAUUAUCAAUGUACAAUUAAUUAGCAAAUAAUAAACCAUAUAUCUAGGUUUUAAAAAUAUAUGAUAUUAUCGUCUUGCGAUCACCCUUUUAUAUCAUAUUCCAUAAGGUGAUUCCAGCAAGCGCGGGUUUGUUCCAAUGCUCAAAACUAGUUCAUAAGCACUCAUGAACGUUGCAGCAACCCUUUGCUAUGUCUAACACCAUUUAGACAAUCUACACACCAAUUCAUGACAAUCUUCAUUCAUAUCUACUUCCAACAUAUGAACGAUUGUGGACAAUUUGAACAAUUCGAUUAUUCCUAAUAAACUCAAUUAUUCUGGAAGUCAAAACAUGCAAAGUGAAACAAUAGCUAAACAAUUAACAUAAGAUAGUAACAUUACUCAUAAAUAAAACUCCUUUAUUUAAUCAUCAAAUGUUAAUUACAUUUAUCUAUUACACGUUUCUAAUACUAUCUAAUCUAUGCUAAUAUCAUCCUUCAGCCCAAUACUCCUAGCAUGCUGCAAGUGCUUAACCCUACUCAGUCCCUUCGUAAGCGGAUCUGCUGGGUUAUCUUCUGAUGAUAUCCUCUUCACUACGAGUUGUCCUUCUUCUACACGAUGUCUAAUGAAGUGAUAUUUUCUGUCGAUAUGUCUUGAUCUACCAUGAUCCCUCGGUUCCUUGGUCAAGGCAACCGCUCCUUCGUUAUCACAGAAAAUCUCCAUGGGCUCCUUUAUGGCAGGUACAACUCCAAGAUCACCGAUGAAGUUCUUUAGCCAUAUUGCCUCCUUCGACGCUUCGCUCGCUGCAAUGUACUCUGAUUCGCACGUUGAAUCAGCUACGGUUUCCUGCUUGGAACUCUUCCAUGUCACUGCUCCUCCAUUUAGGGUAAAGACCCAGCCCGACUGCGAACGGUAGUUGUCCCUGUCGGUCUGAAAACUGGCGUCACUAUACCCUCGCACCUUCAAGUCAUCACUCCCUCCGAGGACUAAGAACCAUUCCUUCGUCCUCCGAAGGUACUUAAGGAUAUUCUUCACCGCAAUCCAAUGUGCUUUGCCAGGAUUCCCUUGAUAUCUGCUAACCAUGCUCAAAGCGAAGGCUACAUCAGGGCGAGUACAAGUCAUAGCGUACAUGAUUGAGCCAACUGCGGAAGCGUAUGGUACUCGGCUCAUUUCUGCUAUCUCAGCUUCGGUACUCGGACUUUGAGUCUUACUCAAUUUGGCAUUACUUUGUAUCGGUAGUUCUCCCUUCUUUGAGUUUUCCAUACUAAAACGUUUUAGUACCUUCUCUAAGUAAGUAUUCUGACUAAGUCCAAUUAGUCUCUUACUUCUUUCUCUUACUAUCCUUAUUCCCAAAAUGUAAGAAGCCUCUCCGAGGUCCUUCAUAGCGAAGCACUUCCCGAGCCAGGACUUAACCUCCUGCAGAGUCGGGAUGUCGUUUCCUAUGAGUAAUAUGUCAUCGACAUAUAGAACGAGGAAGCUUACUAUACUCCCACUGGCUUUGACAUAUACACAAGAUUCGUCUUCGCUUCGUACAAAUCCAAACUCUUUGACUUUCUCAUCGAAGCAAAGAUUCCAUCUGCGAGACGCUUGCUUAAGUCCAUAAAUGGACUUCUCAAGCUUACACACUCUAUUCGGAUGCUUCGGAUCCACAAACCCCUCUGGCUGAGCCAUGUAAACAUCCUCAGCCAACUUUCCGUUAAGGAAAGCGGUCUUGACAUCCAUUUGCCAAAUCUCAUAAUCAUGAAAUGCGGCAAUUGCUAGCAUCACUCUAAUAGAUUUAAUCUUCACAACUGGUGAGAAGGUCUCAUCAUAGUCAACUCCGGGAGUUUGAGUAAAGCCCUUCGCAACCAAUCGCGCUUUAUAUGUGUGUACGUUUCCAUCCACGUCGGUCUUCUUCUUGAAGAUCCAUUUGCACCCAACGGUCUUACGUCCGGGCACAUGAUCAACCAAAUUCCAAACUUGGUUAUCAUACAUGGAUUGGAUCUCGCUAUCCAUUGCCUCUUUCCAUUUCGCAGACUCCGGGCCUGCCAUGGCUUCCUUAUAGCUAUUAGGUUCAUCAAGAUUUACUAGUGUACCAUCACUAAUAUACGUGUCCCCUUCGGUAGUAAUAUGAAAACCAUAAAACUGGGGUAGAACUCUAACUCUAUCGGAACGUCUAAGAGGUAAGGACUCGUCAAUCGGUUCAACCGGAGUUUCCUCCUCGGGUUGAGUGCCAGCGGUAGAGGUUCCUUCAUCUAUCGACUCUUGAAUCUCGUCAAGCUCGAUUUUCCUCCCACUGUCCUCUUGGCCUAUGAGUUCUCGCUCUCGAAAAACUCCUCUGCUCGCAACAAAGACUACAUUGUCCUUCGGUCUAUAGAAGAGAUAUCCAAAGGAUUUCUGCGGGUAGCCGACGAAAAUACAUCGCUCACUUCGAGGUUCGAGUUUGUCAUGAGUAUCUCGUCUUACGAAAGCCUCGCAACCCCAAACCUUGAUAUGUGCCGACGAAAGAGCUUUCCCCGUCCACAUCUCGUGAGGUGUUUUGCCAACCUUCUUAGUAGGGACUCGGUUAAGGAUAUGGGCGGCAGUCUCUAAGGCAUACCCCCAAAAAGAGAUUGAUAGUGAAGCACAGCUCAUUAUAGAGCGAACCAUAUCCAAUAGUGUUCGAUUACGCCUUUCUGCCACACCAUUCAAUUGUGGUGUCCUAGGUGGCGUCAAUUGCAAAGCUAUUCCACACUCCUUGAGAUAUUCGUGGAAUUCAAGACUUAGGUAUUCUCCUCCUCGAUCGGAUCGAAGCAUCUUGAUCUUCCUACCCAAUUGAUUCUCCACUUCAUUCUUAAACUCUUUGAAUUUUCAAAAGUUUCUGACUUUGGUUGAUUAAAUAGAUAUACCCAUAUCUACUAUAGUCAUCGGUAAAAGUCACGUAGAAGCGGUUCCCAUCCUUUGUGGUUGAUCUAAACGGUCCACAUACAUCGGUAUGUAUUAGGUCCAAUAGACCAUCACUCCUUUCGCAUGUUCCAGCAAAGGGUAACUUAGUCAUCUUUCCAAGCAAACAAGACUCGUAUGUGUCAUCUUCCCUAAGGUCGAAUGACUCCAACACUCCAUCCUUUUGGAGUUGGGCUAUGCGUUUCUUAUUGACAUGUCCAAGAUGGCUAUGCCAUAAGGAUGCUUUAUCCAAACUAUUGGAAGAAUCUAUAUUUAAAACAUCAUUUCCUAAAUUAUCAACAAUCAUGACAUUUCAUAAAUNAAAGUAAAAAAAACCAUUUAGAUAAGCUAAAAUAGAACCAUUCUCAUUAUUAAAAGAAAAUCUAAAACCUUGUCUAAACAAACCAUGAAAUGAAAUAAUGUUUCUAGCCAUUUCUGGCGAAUAGCAACAAUUGUUCAAAUCUCAAGACAAACUAUUCCUAAGCACUAAAUAAUAUACUCCAAUCUUGGUCACAGGCGACGAUCUUCUGUUCCCCAUGAUUAGGUUUAUCCUUCCUUGCUUUACAUCCCUACUUCUUCUUAGUCACUGCACAUUAGAACAAGUGUGGUAACCACAACCGGUAUCAAGAACCCAAGAAAUAACAUGGUUAGAAUCGUUAGAUUUAAUUGUGUAUAUACCUGCGAAAGAUGGCUUGAUCUUUCCUUCCUUGAUGGCUUGCAUGUAUUUUGGGCAGCUUCUCUUGCAAUGUCCUAUCUUGUGGCAGUGAUGACAUUCAGCCUCCUUUGGGUUAGAGCAGGGCUUAGCGGGAUCAACUUUGGUCCCACUAGAAGAGGCACCAUCUCGGUCUUUCACCUUGCGUUGGUUCUUGGACGAAGCCUUCCUCUUCUUUCCCUUCCCUUGACCAAAAGCCAAGACAGGAGCAGCGGGUGGAUUGGCAGUUGGUGCAAUAGACAUGUCUUUGAAGUUGCUCUCAGCAACCCUCAAGAGACCUUGGAGUUAACUUAGUGUGACCUCCUCUUUGUUCAUGUGGUAGGUCAUCCUAAAUUGGUUAUAGCUUGGAGGCAAAGAGUGAAGCACCAUAUCGGUCGCCAAGUCUUCUCCAAAGUCAACAUUUAACUUGCGAAGGCGAUCGACGUACCUUUGCAUCUUUUGCAGGUGCAUGGUAAGAGACUCUCCAUGACCCAUCAUAGCGGAAAUCAUGUUAGUGAAAAUCUCAUAACGCUCUUGUCUCGCGUUUUGAUGGUAUCGCUCCAAUAAGUCUUGAUGCAUCUCGUACGGGUACAUGUCCUCAUAGGACUUUUUGAAUUCAGAGUUCAUUGUGGCUAUCAUGAUGCAAUGAACCUUCGUUGCAUCACGCUCAUGAGUUUCAAAAGCGUUCAUUUCAGCCGGAGUAGCAAUUUCAGGGUUGAUCUUUUCAAGCUUUUCAUCGAGGACAUACUCUUUGUCUUCGUAGCGAGCAAUGGUGUGAAUGUAUCUUAUCGAUUCGCUAAAGUUCGUUCCAUCAAAGGUGACCUUUUGGCAAAGGCUCAUCAAUGUGAAAGAACUAUCGGCAGCGUUGUUGGUCUUCGACAUCUACAAUUAGAAAGGACAAAGAUAGAUUAGAAUAUCAAUCCCUAAAUUUCACCCACUAAGAAAAUAAGGGCUAGGAUCCAACAACAAUAUUUACAUCUUAGAAAAGGGAUGUCGUAAUCUAAAUGCAAAUAACUUGAAGGUAAGUGAAUGACGAUUCACUAAUUCUCCAUCAUGAAAAACUAACACUAAGUUUUAAAUGUAUUGAGAAUUCCUAGGUUCGGAUGAGAUUCAUUGAAACCUUUCAAUGGCAUGUUUAAAUCUCGAUAUGCCCAUAUCAUUUGUGACUGGGAUACCGAGGAUCACAAAGUGGGUGUGAAUUACCAUGCAAAUUUACAUGGUACCUUCAUUGUAACAAUCACCUAUUCAAUGUGCCAGUAAACCACACACCCUCCAUCGAACUAUGAUAAACAAUGAAUCACCCUUUGCCACCUUCGCUUAGAACUAAUUAGUGUGCCGGUAAACCACACAUGCUCCACUAACUUCUUAGCAAGCUGCAAAGUGUAAAUUCAUGGGAUUGCAUCAAAUUCACUUUUCCUAAAGUAACUAAGAUUGAGAAAUUUUGAAAAAUAUUUAGUUACUUUGUAUUUCCUAUUAUACUUUUAAUGAGAGGAUGAGGUUGCCCUAUCCUACCCGUUCGGCUAACGACCCUCCACCGAUCAAGCAAGCGGUGGGUGUGAGUGUAAACCCAUUAAGCGCCAUUUUAUAGGUCGCAACCUUAUACCCACCUUAUAGAUCGGCUUCGUGAAUGAGGCCUACUAGCGGUAAGACUAGCAUUUAGUUAUACAUAUAUAUAGAUAUUAAUCUUGUAAUAUUAUAUUAGUAUAAGGUUGAAUUUUAAACUUGUAAAACUCUAGGGUUUGAAAUUUAAAUUUAUCUAAAUUAAACUUUUAAUCAUAAAACAUAAAUUUCAAAACUUGAGGGCAAGUUUUAAACUAUUCAAAACAUAGAGGAUCAAAUAACAAAUAAUUCCUUUUUAACAAUUAAACACAUAAUAAUCCAUAUUUGAUUUAUUUGAGAUUUCUUGAAAAAUAAUUUACCAAUUAAAAUAAAAUAAUUAAUAAUUAUCAUGUAAGUAAAUUAAAUAUUUGUUUAAUUGAUAAAUAUCAUUAACUAGAUCAAAAAUAUACUUAUAUUUAUCACAAAAUCGGAUUUGGGAUGAUCUAAUAUGAUAAUGGUAACCUUCCAUAAGAUAAAUACAAAGAAAUCCCGAAAUUGGCUCUUCCUGACGCUCGGACUCGCCAAGUACCCACUCUGGACUCACCGAGUCGGGCCUACUCGCCGAGUCCACAGUGGGACUCACCGAUUCCAUGACUCAGAAACACAAAAAAUGAAUUUUUCAGUUAUGAUUCAUACAAACAAGCAACAAUUUAAUGGAAACCAAGCUAGGCUCUGAUACCACUGAUGGGUUUUGGCCAUAUGAACAUUCAUAUGUGCACAUGCAAACCCUAAUGCUUGGAUCUAUGGCUUCUAAUUAAACAUGCUUGUAUCCAAGACUUUCUAAUGACUAAUUAGGUAUAUAACAACACAAAAACCAGAUCUAGAAACAUACCUUUGAUUCUCUUGUUUGUUCUUGUUGUCUUGAAGCUCUAGAGUCACAAUUGUCACUCCUCUAAUGGCUUACAAACACCAACUAGCAAGAGGAUGAUUUGGGAGAGAAAGGAAGAGUAUGAAAUCGGCCAGAGUAUCCUUGCUUAAGAUGGGUGCCGAUUUCAUGAGCCUAGAGGGUCUAUUUAUAUUUGUAAGGCUUUUAGGGUUUCACCUUAAACCCUAAUUGGAUAACUUAGACUCCAAGUUAAUCCAUAUCCUUUCCUUAGAUAACCCCUUGGACGAUUUUGAGCUAUCCUGGGCUCACAAAUCCGUCGAAUCCUUUAUCUAUAAGGAUAUAUAGCCUAAAGUGUAACUAUCAAACAAUUCACAGUUUAUACCCUCAUAUUUAAUUAAUUCCUUUAAGUCACCAAAUUAAUACUGAUUAAUCUAUGACUUACAUUAAUUAAAUAACUAUAUUAUUAAUCCUUAUAUUAUCUCCAUAAUAUAUUAAUAAUAUCUAUUCUCUCUUAAUAAAUCAUCCUAUCAAGUUGCUAUGGUGAAGGCAACCCAAAAGGACCAUGCAUAAUCGGGUCAAGUACUUGCCUAAUAUAGUUGCAGUCUUAGACACUAUUCCAACAGUCUCCCACUUGGAUAAGUCUAGUAACUAUAUGCGCUAGUACAACUCGAUUUGCAAUCGUAGCUCUCAAAGACGCUGUCAAACUCUUAUCUAAUCAAUCUUUUCCUUUAGAUAAGGGAUCGUACAGUCCUCUGUUAGAUAUCAUGCUGACAAUUAUAUGGAAUGAUUAGUAAAGCAUUUAGGUUUCUCGAUCUCCGAUUUAUUUGACAUAGAACUUAAUCGAACACAUCAAUUCAGUUCUGACCGGGCCCGGCACCUAAGUCAAAUCAAAUCAUCGAGCGGCCGAGAUAUCUCUUCUAUCCUCUUGGGAUAAAAUUUACAGAUAAACUUCGACUUAUAUGCAUUUACUUAUUCAAUAAUCAACUAUACACAACAAUGCGUUUUAUAACAUUGAGUUACCAAUGCGUUUUCGCAUUAUCAAUGUACAAUCAAUUAGCAAAUAAUAAACCAUAUAUCUAGGUUUUAAGACUAUAUGAUAUUAUCGUCUUGCGAUCACCNACUAUACACAACAAUGCGUUUUAUAACAUUGAGUUACCAAUGCGUUUUCGCAUUAUCAAUGUACAAUUAAUUAGCAAAUAAUAAACCAUAUAUCUAGGUUUUAAGACUAUAUGAUAUUAUUGUCUUGCGAUCACCUUUUAUAUCAUAUUCCAUACGGUGAUUCCAGCAAGCGCGGGUUUAUUCCAAUGCUCAAAACCGGUUCAUAAGCACUCAUGAACGUCGCGGCAAUCUUUUGCUAUGUCUAAUACCAUUUAGACAAUCUACGCACCAAUUCACGACAAUCUUCAUUCAUAUCUACUUCCAACAUAUGAACGAUUGUGGACCAUUUGAAUAAUUCGAUUAUUCCUAAUAAACUCAAUUAUUCUGGAAGUCAAAACAUGCAAAAUGAAACAAUAGUUAAACAAUUAACAUAAGACAGUAACUUUACUCAUAAAUAAAACUCCUUUAUUUAAUCAUCAAAUGUCAAUUACAUUUAUCUAUUACACGUUUCUAAACCUAUCUAAUCUAUGCUAAUAUCAUCCCUUAGCCCAAUGCUCUUAGCAUGCUGCAAGUGCUUAACCCUACUCAGUCCCUUCGUAAGUGGAUCUACUGGGUUAUCUUCUGAUGAUAUCCUUUUUACUAUGAGUUGUCCUUCUUCUACACGAUGUCUGAUGAAGUGGUAGUUUCUGUCGAUAUGUCGAGAUCUACCAUGAUCCCUCGGUUCCUUGGUCAAGGCAACCGCUCCUUCGUUAUCACAGAAAAUCUCCAUGGGCUCCUUUAUGGCGGGGUCAACUCCAAGAUCUCCGAUGAAGUUCAUCAGCCAUAUUGCCUCCUUCGACGCUUCACUCGCUGCAAUGUACUCAGAUUCGCACGUUGAAUCAGCUACGGUUUCUUCUUUUGGAACUCUUCCAAGUAACUGCUCCUCCAUUUUGGGUAAAGACCCAACCCGACUGCGAAUGGUAGUUGUCCCUAUCGGUUUGAAAACUGGCGUCACUGUACGCUCGAACCUUCAAGUCAUCACUACCUCCGAGGACUAAAAACCAUUCCUUCAUCCUCCGAAGGUACUUAAGGAUAUUCUUUACAGCAAUCCAAUGUGCUCUGCCAGGGUUCCCUUGAUAUCUACUAACCAUGCUCAAAGCAAAGGCUACAUCAGGGUGAGUACAAAUCAUAGCGUACAUGAUUGAGCCAACGGCGGAAGCGUAUGGAACUUGGCUCAUUUCAGCUAUCUCAGCUUCGGUACUCGGACUUUGAGUCUUACUCAAUUUGGCAUUACUUUGUAUCGGUAAUUCUCCCUUUUUCGAGUUUUCCAUACUAAAAUGUUUUAGUACCUUCUCUAAGUAAGUGUUCUAACUAAGUCCAAUUAGUCUCUUACUUCUUUCUUUUACUAUCCUUAUUCCCAAGUUGCUAUGGUGAAGGCAACCCAAAAGGACCAUGCACAAUCGGGUCAAGUACUUGCCUAAUAUAGUUGCAGUCUUGGACACUAUUCCAACAGAAGCUUCAUUAUCAGGUAAAAAGUUCAGAUCUUGUCACUUGGUUCAUGUUAUAUGCUUUAAGUACCAUUUUCUAUGGUUUUAGUCCCAAAGGUGGAGACUUUUUGUGCAAAUGGUCUCCAUAAGCGUAGAUCCGUCAUACUUCUGGUCUUUUGGAGUUGUAGACUCAUAAAAAUGACAUCUUGGACGUAAAUGUUGCACCAUGCAUGAGAUCUAGGUCCUUGAGUUGGAAUAGAAUGAUCUUAAGAAGUGUUGGAGCCUUUACAGCCAUGCCAAGGCUUAAAGGUCUCGACUUUAUGGGUAUAGACGCAUAAACAAAGCUGGAUCUAGAAGUUGGAGUAAUGGCUUAACCGAUUAAGACCAGAAAUGAUGUAUGCUAAAGUCUGAUGGUUACGCUGGGCGUAACUCCCAGUACGCGCAACGUACUGGGUGGAGACCCCGAUCCAUGGGUUCAUGAUGUACGCCCCGCGUACAUCAAGCAGUACGCCCCGCGUACUCAUAGGGUUGACUUUUGUUGACUUUUAGGGUUUUUGUGAACAUGAAGACUUUGGGUCAAGGAAGGGUAAAAUGGUCUUUUACCCUCUGAGGAAUGAUGAUAAGGAGUAAAUUUUUAGUUGUGGAAGUCUUUGAUUAUUAAAUGAUAUUUUUAUGAUUAGGCGAGGUCGAGUCGUCGUUGGCAUUUGGAGAUAUCGAGUACGCGGGAUCUUAGACUUUCCACGAGGUGAGUUUUCUCACUAUACUGUACCCGGAAGGGUUCUAUCGUGUGACCGGAAGGUCGGAUAUGUUAUGUGUUAUAUGCAUUGUAUGUGAUAAGUUAAUCGUUUAUAUGUGCGAUGUAUGAUACGCUUUAUGUUAUGGGCCGGAAGGCGUUUAUGUUAUGGGCCGGAAGGGAUUGUGAUGUGAACUGUAAGGUUGACGUAGGUAGGACCGGAAGGUUUACCUAGUCGAGACGGAAGUCCCCUGAGACACGUGGACCGGAAGGUAAUGGCCUGGAAAGGCGUAUGUGCGUAAGUUGUAUUUUGGGGAACUCACUAAGCAAUUAUGCUUACAGUUGUUGUGUUAUGUGUUUCAGGUACUAGCAAGGACUGUGGGAAGGCGCCGGCGUGAUUGUACACACUAACGGAGAAACUGUUUUUAUGAUCAUGGGAUGUAUUUGUUAUGAUAACAUUGUUCACGUUUGAAUUUCGAAUAUUAAACGAUGGUUUUUGACGUUUGCAAAAAUUAAAAAUCUGUUUUAAAAUUUACGUUGUUACACUAACGCCCAGUAUUAGCGAUCAGAACAUUUCUAGAAUCAGCCAUAUCGGGUUACGGCAAUUUGGCCGGGUGCGACCAAAAGCCGCGUCUAACUCCGGUAUCGGGUAGAAUUCUACCGUGUCCCGAACUUGGACACUAUUUAAAGUGAUCCAAGCUUUCAUUUGAAGCUUUUGCUUCAUUUCACAACCAUCUCUCUAAGCUCUCUCCUAAAUCCGUUUAAGGGUNAAAUCCAAGUUUAAGGGUUCAAAUCUCAAAUUUAAGGCUUCUAAUCACCAAGAUUAAAGCACGAAUUAGGGUGCUUUUGACCUUCAAAUUCGAGAUUAAAGCAUGAAUUAGGGCCUUGUAUAUGAGUUUACGGCCCUGGAAGGUGCUUAGGCUGUAAACACAUAUUUAGAGGGUUUUUAAGCCCUUAAACCCUUCCAAAACACAAACAAGACUUAGAUAUGACUUCUAGAAUAUUGGUAUUGGCCUUAGAACAUCAUAAACAUAAAUUUUGAGGACCAAAUGAGAGUUUACGGUCAAGGCACAUGCUUGGGCCGUAAACCCUUCAAACAUGGGGAGUAAACUCCUCUAAAGGUGUUAAAAUGCCACUUUAACACACCUAAAGCCUUGGGAUAAAUUCUAGAAGUGUCUACAAACAAGUAAUUGACCUUAAAACAUAAUAAAUCACACAUCAAGGGAGCUCACGGCCAUGAGAGGGGUUCAUGGGCCGUAAAAAUCCAUACAAGGCUAGGAAAAAUCAUUAGAAUCACAUGUGAUUAAUUUAAGACCACCAAGAAACAUUUUAAGUAUACAUAUAAGAGUUUACGGCCAUAAACAUAGAGUUUACAGCCGUAAACUCCUCAAAUGGUCCUUACUUUGUUCAAAAUUCAUUUCCAAGCCUUGAAACCAACCUUAGAAAUUCCCUCUUGUAUGAUCCAAGCCAUUUUGCACCAAAAGCACCCCCACCAUGAGUUUACGACCGUAAACUCAUGGGGAAUGGGGCUUUAGGGCCGAAAACACUCCUAUGAGUUUACUCUUGAAGAGUAAACUCCAAUGCCUAGUGAUACAAGUCCUUAAACGCCACCCGGGUCACUCCAAACACUCGCUUUGAGGUGUUUUCGUUCAUUGGAGUGUAAUAUCAUAUCAAAUUAGAUUUUAUGAAUCUAAUUAGAUAUAUUUGUAUACCAUUUCAUAUUACAUAGGAACCUCGCGUGUUAUCUAGCCUUGAUUCGACGUUUAGCAUUCCUUUCGACACAUUUCCGCGUCCGGUGAGUUCAUACCCCUACCCUUUUUCAAUGGUUUUUCAAUGUUUUCAGGGGGGAAUACAAAGCAAGAGUACAAGAAUAUCUUGUACUUAAACUCAUGAUUUCAAUUAAAUGGUUUCAUAAUUGUACACUUUUAAGAAUUGAAAACCUUUUAACAAACUGUUUUAACUUGCAGAAUUGUUUGUUUAAAAUAGAUUUUCAAUUCUUAUUAUAUACUGAUAUGUUGUAUACUUUACAAUUGAUUGUUCACACUUAUAUUGAUAGAGAUUAUAAAACAUUAGUAAAGUCUGUAAUAAAUUACCCUAGGCACAAGUAUAAAAGACAGACACCAUUAGAACACAUAAAACAUUUAUGUCCUUAAUAAUACACCUAGGCUCGAGUGUAAAGGACAGUCGUCAUUAGAAAACAUAGAACAUUUGUAAUGUCCUUAAUAAAACACCUAGGCUCGAGUGUAAAGGACAUGCACAUUACAAAUUAGUUAGUCAUAGAUACUACUUCCUUAGGCACUUGAAGUAAAGAGUAAUCUUAAAGAUUGGAGACACGUCCUCUAUAACACUUCCUUGGCACAAGAGAGUGGCGGACUAACCCUGUAACCAGAAUCUCGAGGAGGGAGAACGUGACUUGAGUGUAUAGAUCUAUACGGGACUAACAAUCCCACACCUGGCUGCUAGCUACAGCCAAACCGAAAGCUUUAAGGGUGACGAAAGUCAUAAAAAGGAUACUGGCCCUGGCCCGAGUCAUAUCUAGUCUGAGUAUGGUUAAGGACUCGCAGUAAAGAUUAUUGACACUUUACACGUAUUUAUUAGUUUUGUGUACGUAAUAAAACUAAUGUAGGUUUAAGGAUAACCGGACUUUCAGUACACACACACACAUUCAGGAAAACAUGGGUUUUUCCUGGGGAUAACAUCGAACAUAAUCGGAAUCGGUAACAAUACACAUACACACAUUCAGGAAAACAUGGGGUUUUCCUGGGCAUAACAUUGAACAUAAUCGGAAUCGGUAACAGUACACACACACACAUUCAGGAGAACAUAGGGUUUUCCUGGGGAUAACAUUGAACAUAAUCGGAAUCGGUAACAGUACACACACAUAUUCAGGAGAACAUAGGGUUUUCCUGGGGAUAACAUUGAACAUAAUCGGAAUCGGUAAUAGUAUACACACACACAUUCAGGAGAACAUGGGAUUUUCCUGGGGACAACAUUGAACAUAAUCGGAACCGGUAACAAUUCGUACACACAGAAUCAGUAACAGUUCACACACACAUGUAGGAAAAUAUAGGAUUUUCCUGAGUAACCAUAGUACGUCACCAGAAAAGUGUAACAAGUUCGAUAACUAAACUUGCAAUUCACAAGAACAAUCAUGUUUUCAUUGUACAUCAUUUACAUUACUUUUCGGAUUUGGUAACCAACUUUUAAGAAAAUAUGGGAUUUUCUUGGAUAACCACUUUUCAGGAAACUAAAGGAACUCGUACAUUUUCUGAAAAACAAACAUCUUAUGAACUCAUCAGCUUUAUGCUGAUUUUCAAACCGCUUGUAUUCUCAGGUCCACGUUAGACAGGUACUCGUAGAUCCUUUUGUACGAAGACGGAGUUCUCAGAAGACCCGUUUCGUGUUGUUCAUAUAUACUAUUAUGUAUCACUUGUAUAACUUAUGCUUAGAGAGUCUAGAGAGGUAAAAUUAGAAACUUUAUCCACUGUGGCCUUAGAAUGGACCAUAUAUGGGCAUUAGAUAUCUUAAGAUCAAGGAAAUCGACUUAAUCCAUUAAGCUGUUUGGGAGCCUAGUGCCCCCGACGUGUCCAAGGUCCCCACGAUGUGGCAGCCGGGCUAAGUCUUGAUUGUAUUGUCAGCUAGUAGACACGACAUGGCAAAGGAUGGCCAGAACGUGGCGACCAACCACAUUCGACUCUGACCAAAUUUGACCUAAGUGUAUUUUGGGUACUUUGAGUGGUAUUUUGAGAAUGAUCACUAAUUGAUGAAUAGGUGAUGGGUGGACUUGAGAUUUGGAGCAGAGACAUAUUGAGCUAUUUGUUCAGACUGAUAGGUGAGUUUUCCUAACUGCACUUGUGGGCCGAAGGCACCAAGGCUUGCCUAAUAGAUUAAUAUCCUGUUUGAUACCGAUUGAUGAUAUGUUGAGUAUGUGAUAGGCCUGUAUGAUUAUCUGAUAGUUAUUGAUAUGGAUUAGACUGGCAGGUCUGAGGGCUAUCAGUAAUUACUGGCUAUAUAAAUAUCUAUCUGCUGAAUAUGUAUAUUAUCUAUUAUAUGUCGACAUGUUUUUAUAUUGUGAGUUAACAGACCAGGGCAAUACAAUCAGGAGGUUGUGGGACAAGGAUAAUUUAACCGGGAGGUUGUGGACCCAGAACGUUAUAUGCAUGGAAAUCCAACCGGGAGGUUUUCGGCCAGGGUAAUCCAACUGGGAGGUUGUGGACCAAGUAUACGAUAUUCAAGGCAAUCCAAGCGGGAGGUUGUGGACCUGAGGGUAUUCCAGUCCGAUGGUUGAGUGGACCCAGCUUGUAUGAUUGUAUAUGUUAUAUGUUAUAUCUUGGUACUUUGGGGGAACUCACUAAGCUUCGUGCUUAUAGUUUCAGUUUAUUGUGUCACGUACUCCAAAUGAUCAUGGCAAGGCGAAGUCGUGAUCGUGCAUGUCCUUCUGGUUCUUAUGAUAUUGGAUUUUGGGACUCUCUGAUUACUGAAAUACAAUUUUGAAACAAUGGUUUUUUAUAUAUUUAUCGUUUUUGGUUGUUUUUGAAAAGUUUAAAUUUAUUGUGAUUUUUGGGAUGUUAAAAGUUGGUAUCAAAGCCCUGGUUUGAGUAAAUUGGAUGAACAUUCUUGUGAAUCCAGACUCAAACUAAGGAUCUGUGAAAGUUUUCAAAUUAUUUUCAAUUAAAUUCAAAUUAUUUGCUAUAGCAACCAAGGAAGGAUGAGAUUUGUAUGAUCAGCCGGAGCAAGAAAGUUUACCCCAAGUUACCACAUUGUUACUUGUUUAUGAUAAUUAUGGUAGAAGUGCAUGCUAGUGAUAGUCUAGGGUUCUUUAGGAAUUGCAUAAUAGAAUUUUAUGUGGUAUAAUGCCUGAUAGCCUAAGAGGACUUCUUAUAUUUUAGAUGAAAUUGACAUCAUUACUAUACUUACUUAGUCUGUGCGUCAUAGUUAUACAUAACAAAGAUUCUAUAGCCUGGGAAUGCUUGAUUUAGCUUUAUUUCCUGUUACUGUCUGGUUAUGGUCUUAUGGUAGAUUCCAGUAUUUGAUUGUGUAUAGGAUACAACGUUAGGUAUGAUAAGCAUGCACAAGUGGUUAUAGGGUUACCGGAGGUUUAAUGAGUUGGUAUAGUUCAUAGCAGGAUAGUGUGAGGAGUGAUGAUCCACUCUUGAGAGAGUGAGGACAGGAUGAAUGUGUAUCGUAGAUGCUUGGGCUUAGUGGUUGGGAAUUUCGUAUGAGGAUUUGCCUGAUUUCAUUGUGUUUUAGUGCAAGUAGACCCCCAAACUCGAAUGUUGCUUCCUUUUUGCUUUGUGGGAAUCACAUUGAUGUGACUUAAUUAUCAAAUGAGUAUGCUAAAUUACAUACUACUAAGGUUAAAUAAUCUUAGAGUGAAGUAUUUCGUCCUAUUGAACCGCUCUCGUCCAAUUCUAAACGUUGUAGGGUUGAGUGUUUUAGUCAAAAAAUUAUUUAACUUUUGUUGCAUGUAAUUGGAUUCUUGAAGUGGCUAGCUGAAAUCAAUAGGGUUUCUUUAGCAGCUGAUGGAAGGGGAGGUGGCGAAUCCCUGGGGGACCUAGGAACUGUUGGAUAUAGUGUCUAAGUCCAUAACUUUAUUUGGUAUGUACUUGACCUGACCCCGCAUGGGUCAUUCGGGUUGCAUGAAAUUGCAAUACUUGGAUAGACUAAAUGAGAGAAAAGAUACUUAUGAUUAUUAAUAUAUUAUAAGUUCUAAUAUAUUAAUAAUUGUAUUAUUUAAUUAGUGUUGAUCAAGUAUUAAUUUAGAAUUAAUUUGGUGAUCUAGAUGAAACUAAUUAAAUAUGUAGGGUUGAUUAUGACAAUCAUCUAAUAUUUUAUAGUAGAUUAAUGAUCCAUGAUUUAUGUGUUUGGGUUAUAACCAUUUGGAGCUCCAUUGAUAGUUCAUGGGAGUUACAAACCCAUGGAUCAUUAGAAAUGAAGAGUCAUGACAAUUAACAGCAUUCAUGUGAAAACCCUAAUUGUGACAACACUAUAAAAGGGUCCAUACUUCUAGCAAAAUUGGUUACUAGUGAGUUCUUAGAGGGCAUAACCGAUUUUUGAGUGCAAGUGUAUUCUCUCAAGUUAUUCCAAGUCUUGUAGUGUUGUGUGAAGCAUUUGAGGCACUAAAUUUGGGGUGCUAGGCUCAAAAAGUUUUCUAGGAAUCCAAACAACAAACAAGGUAUGUAAUUCAAUCUAGUUUUGUUAUUCAUGUACGUUGGAUUGCAUGCUAGAAAUGAUAAAUCUUUGUAAAUCAUUUUGAAUGUAGAAUAGAGAAAACAUAGUUCCAAAGCUUGUAGGGUUGUAUGUGCACCUUAAAGAUGUUAGGAUGCUCAAAACCCUUCGGUGGUAUCAGAUCCUAGGUUUGUUUUCUAUUAUAUUGUUGUUUAUAUGAUUUUGCAAAGCUGAAUUUUGUCCAGACUGCAAAACUCGACGAGCUCAUGCAAGGAACUCGACAAGUUUUCUCAAGAAACUCGACGAGUUUUGUGUUCUGACAGUUUGUUGUUUGAGUUUUGCUGCUAGAAAUGGGCUUGAAUCAUUACCAAAUUGUUUUGGACUUAUGGAAUCUGUUUUUGAUGAUUAUAAUGAUUAUGUUAAUCCAUUUCCAAUGGUGAUUAUCAAAAUUUCAAGUGUUAUAUGUGUUAAUGUGAUUUCUUGAAAUUGUUUGAUAUGAAUAUUUGUUCUUAUGAUUUUUAGAAGAUCAAAGGAAUUAUGUGUAACUUACAUGCUUGUUUAAUUAAUGAUCUUAGUGCUAAUGAUGGUGUCGAUGACUUGUCCUCAAGUUAUGGAUAACCAAAAGUCACCUCUUUAAAUUGUUAUUAAAGAACAAAGAGGUUUCAUAAAUGAAGAGUCUUCAUUUUUAUGAACCAUUAAAACUCAUAAGUUACAAAUUGAAGAGUCUUGAAAUAGUUUCAAAACUUGCCCUCAAGUUUUGGAAUUUGUAAAGUCUUACACUUUAAUACUUUAAUUCCGAAUCAAACCUUAGAUUUUUAAAAGGUUUAAAAAUCAACACUUAUACAAUUAUUAUAAUCUUAUUUAUAUAGAUAUGUAUAAGAAUAUGUCAUUCUUACUGUUAGUAGGCCUUAUUCACAAAGCCGGUUUAUAAGGGGGGUAUAAGGUUACCGCCUAUAAAAUGGUGGUUUAAUGGGUGUCCACUCUCACCCACCGCUUCAUUGACUGGUGAAGGGUCGUUAGCCGAACGGGUAGGAUACGACUUUAAUUCUCAUUAAAAGUAUAAUGAAUUAUAAAGUAAGUAUACAUUAUUAACUCCUAAUCUUAGUUACUUUAGGAAAAAUUUGAAAUAGGUGCUAGCCCAUAAAAUUACACUUUGUACCUUACCAAAUCGUUAGUGGAGCAUGUGGGGUUAACCGGCACACUAACAAGGACUAGUAAGUGUAGCAAAGGGUAACUUGACUUUAUUAUAGAUCAGUGGAGCGUGUGUGGUUAACCGUCACAUCGGUUAGGUAAUAUAGUUAACUGUACUGAGUCAAUUUGUAUGGUUAUUCACACCUUGUUUGUGAUCCUCGACAUCCCAAUCACAAACUUGAGAGGGCACAAUCGAGAUUCAAACAUGCCAUUGAAAAGUUCAAUGUAUCUCAGAAAGAUCUAGGAAUUUCAAAUCCAAUAAAACCUAAUAAUAAAAUAUUUCGUUCUUAUAGUGGAAACUAGUAAAUCGUCAUUUACCUACCUUCAAAUAUUUUAUAGCUUGGAUUACGACAUCCCUCUUCCAUAUAUAAAUAGUUUGUUGGAUCCUAGCCUUAAUAUUUCAUUUGGGUGACUUAUUAAGGACUCUUAAUCUAAUGAAACUUGUUUUUCUUUUCUUUCAGAUGUCUUCCAACAAUGUUGCUGGCUCACACCCAACAGGCUCCUUUUCCCUAAUGAACUUGUGUGGGAAAGUCACUUUUGAUGGAUCCAACUUCAAUGAAUGGAUCAGAAACUUCAGGAUGAUUUCCCGCAAUGAGGACAAGGAGUAUGUCCUCGAUAGGGAGCUUAAGGUUGUGAAUGAAGCCACUGCUACUCCUGAAGAGGUUGUGGAGUUUGUUGCACAUGAAAAGUAUGCUACUAAGGUAGCAUGCAUCAUGAUGGCCACCAUGACUCCCGAACUUCAAAAAUCCUAUGAAGAUUUCUACCCCUAUGAGAUACACCAGGAUCUGAUGGAAAGGUACCAUCGAAGCGCGCGUUAGGAGAGGUAUGAAAUCAUUUCCUCCAUGCUAACAAACAGAAUGAAAUAUGGUGAACCCAUCGGAGGUCACUUAUAGAAAAUGCAAAGGUUUAUGGACCGAUUACUAAAGCGCAAUGUUGACUUCCCUGAGGACUUGGUGAUUGAUAUCGCUCUCCAUUCCUUACCUCCAAGUUAUGAUCAGUUUCGUAUGACUUAUCAUAUGAACAAGGAUGAAGUCACACUUAGCAAGCUUCAAGGAGUCUUAAGGACAGCAGAAUUUGGUCUUAAGGGUAAAGCGGUUGUUACUUCUACUUCCACUCUUUCAGCAGCCCCUGUUCUUGCAAUUGGGCAGAGAAAGGGUAAGAAGAGGAAAACUCCUUCAAAGGAUACCAAGGGUAAGCCUGUUGAUGGUUCCUCUUCAAGUGGGACAAAGAAAGGUCCCAUUACUUCUUCUUUAAACCCAAAUGAAGCACAAUGCUUCUAUUCCCAGGAAAAGGGGCACUGGAAGCGAAGCUGCCCCAAAUACCUACAAGAUGUAAAGGAUGGGAAAGUCAAACCCACCUAUGUAGGUAUUUAUACAAUAUUGCCUAAUAACUCAUCUAAUGCUAAUUCUUUUGUGCUUGAUACAUGUUGUGGUAUUCACAUUUGUACUAAUUUGUAGGGCCUAAGAAGAAGUGAGCAAGUGGAGCAUGGGAAGAUAAACUUAGUCAUGGGCAACAGGAAAGCAUCACAUGUAACCAAGAUAAGAGUUUAUUCAUUAUUUCUUAAUAAUGGGUUAAUGUUAGAUGUGAAUAAAUGUUGCUACUCGCCUGAAAUGGUGUGAAAUAUUAUUUCUUUUCAUGGCUUGUACAAACAAGGUUUUACAUUUUCAUUUGAAAAUAAUAAUGGUGCUAUUAAUGUUUAUUACAAUGAUGUAUUUUACUUUAAAGCAUUACCUUGUGAUGGUGUAUAUGAAGUUGCGAAUGUUGUAGACAAUUUAGGAAAUAAUGUGUUGUAUAUUGAUUCUUCAAAUAGCUCGGAUAAAGCAUCCUUGUGGCAUUGUCGUCUUGGACAUGUCAACAAGAGGCGAAUAUGCCAACUCCAAAAGGCUAGAGUCUUGGAAUCAUUUGAUCUAAAGUCAGAUGAUAUUUGUGAGUCUUGUUUGCUUGGAAAAAUGACAAAGUCACCCUUCACAGGUUCUUGUGAUAUGGGUGAAGGUUUGUUGGAGCUCGUACACAUAGAUGUGUGUGGGCCCUUCAGAGUUGCUACAAGGGAUGGUAAUCGCUAUUAUUUGACUUAUACUGAUGAUUACAGCAGAUAUGGAUAUAUCUACUUAAUCAAGCAUAAUUUAGAAACCUUUGAAAAAUUCAAAGAGUUUAAACAGGAAGUUGAGAAUCAAUUGGGCAGGAACAUCAAGAUGCUCUGAUCCGAUCGGGGAGGAGAGUAUCUUAGCAUUGAGUUCCUUGACUAUCUUAAGGAAUGUGAGAUUGUCUCACAGUUGACACCUCCUAGGACACCACAUAUGAAUUGUGUGGUCGAGAGGCGCAAUCGAACCUUGUUGGAUAUGGUUCGUUCCAUGAUGAGUCGAGCUUCGUUACCAAUCUCUUUUUGGGGUAAUGCCUUAGAGACUGCCGCCCAUAUCCUUAAUCUAGUCCCUACUAAAAAGGUUGCCAAAGCACCUCACAAGGUGUGGACUCGGAAAGUUUCCAAUUUAGACCACAUCAAAAUUUGGGGUGGUGAAGCUUUCGUGAGGCGUGAGACUAAUGAUAAGCUUGAACUUCAAAGUGAGAGGUGUAUUUUCAUCGGCUACCCACAGAGAUCCUUUGGUUACCUCUUCUACAGACACAAUGGUAAUGAGGUCUUUGUAGCAAGAAGAGGAGUCUUUCAUGAGAGAGAAUUUAUAAGCCAAGUGGACAGUGGGAAGCAAAUUGACCUUAAAGAGCUUCAAGAGUCAAGUGGUGAAGGAACCUCAAAUACCAUCGUCCAACCUAAGGAAGAAACUCCUGGUGAGCCGAUAGACGAGUCUGUACCUCCAAGGCAUUCCACUAUAGUGAGGAACACACCUGAAUUUUAUUAUGGUUACCAGAUCACUACUGAAGGUGAUACAUUUAUCAGUGAUAGUACACUAGUAGAUCUUGAUGAACCUAUUAAUUAUAAGGAAGCAAUGGCAGGCUGGGUCUUUAUCCUAAAUGGACGGGCAAUUACUUGGAAAAGUUCCAAGCAGGAGACAGUAGUUGAUUCAGCUUGUGAAUCAGAGUAUAUAACAGCAAGCGAGGAAGCAAAGGAGGUAAUAUGGCUAAAGAACUUCUUCGGAGACCUUGGAGUUGUACCGGUUAUAAAGGAGCCAAUGGAAAUUUUCUGUGACAGCGAAAGUGUGGUUUCUUUGGCUAAGGGACCAAGAAAUCACAGGAGAUCUAGGCACAUUGACAAAAAAUACCAUUUCAUCAGACAUCAAAUAGAAGAGGGAAUCCUCGUGGAAAAGAGGGUAUCAUCAGAUGAUAACCCAGUAGAUCCCCUCACGAAGGGACCGAGUAGGGUUAAGCAUUUGCAGCAUGCGAGGCACAUCAGGCUGAAGGAUGAUAUUAGUUUCAAUAAUUAGAUUUCUGAAACUUGUAAAAAUUUACAUUUGAUGAUUAAAUAAAAGUUGUUAUUUAUUUAUGAGUAAAGUGUUACUAUCUUGUGUUAAUCGUUUACUAUGUUUCAAUUUUGCAUGUUUUGACUUCGAGAACAAUUAUCUUAUUAUUCAAACUCUCCAUAGUCAGUCAAACUUUGGAAGUAGGUACUGAUUUAAUACUGUCAUGAAUUUGGCUUGUAUGAUUUGUCUAAAGAGCAUUAGACAUAGCAAUUGUUUCUACAACAUUCAUGAGUACUCAUAAGGCCUAAGUAUUGGAUUCAACCCACACUCACUUGCAUCACUUUGUGGAAUUUAUCUCGAGUGAUCGUGAGACGGUAAUAUCAUAUAAAUCUUCAAACCUACAAAUAUGAGUUGUUGACUAUGAGUUGGUUAUUCAUUGAUUGUACAAAAACGCAUUGGUAACCCGAUGUUAUAAAACGUGCUUGUGUGCAUAAUUCAACAAGUAGUCAGUACAAGCAUAUGAGUCGAAGCUUAUAUGUUCCUUCUAGAAAUAGAAGCGAUAUCUGGGCCCCUCGAUGAUUCGGUUUUGACUUAUGUACCGGGUGUAACAUCCAAAAUUUCAAAAUAAUUAAAACUUUUCAAUAUCAUCCAUUUUAUUAACAUUGUUACAAAAAGGUUUUCAAUACAUUCUUUAACAGAGUAAUUUCCCAGGUUCAAAACAUAAAACACCAACGCGAGGAACGGUACGAUCACACCUUUGCCUUGUCACAGACUCUUGAGAACCUGAAACAUAAAACCACAACUGUAAGCCCGAAAGCUUAGUGAGAUACCCCCAGAAUACCAACCACAUAUACGCCUUUCCAGGCCCUGACCUUCCGGUCCUCAACACAACAUAAUCGCCUUCCGGCCCAAAAUAUAUUGCCUUCCGGCCCAUAACAUAUUGCCUUCCGGCCCAUAAGCAUACAAUGAAUACAUAACAUACAAAUAAUCAUAUAGCAGUUCAUAGACAACAAACGAUCAACAGAUCACAUACCAUAGCAUUACUCUAAACGAGAUACCGGUCCGGCCGGUCACUAGCAUACCUUACUCUAUGAAUCAGUCAACAUACUAAAUGCAUACAUACGCCUUUCCAGGCCAUGACCUUCCGGUCAACAUAGUAACGCCUUCCGGCCCAUGACAUGUAUUGCCUUCCGGCCCAUAACAUAUAACAACUGACAACUACCCGGAUUUCCAUCCGAUAAAAGGGUUGGCAGUGGUGCCAUAAACCCUAGCGAUAUAGUGAGGAUAACUCACCUCGAAAUUGCCGACUGAACAGAUAGCUCAAGCUGCUCCGAUCACUGAUACGAUCUCCACCUCUGGACAGUCACCAAUGCACUGAACUCAAACAAUAACAACAAUUACCAAAAUACCCCUGGAACCACUGGUAAAUCCUUGGACAAAGACAAGGUCAAAGUCAACCCCUGACUGACCCUACUCGUCGAGUCAACCCUGUGACUCGCCGAGUCCCCAUACUCAGAACUUCACUCAACCCGCGACCUAACUCGCCGAGUCACCCCAAGACUCGCCGAGUUCUACGACUCUGAGUCCGCUCGUCCUUGACUCACCGAUUCCUUAAGAUUCCCUUCCUACACGUCGAGUAUCCCCUUUUUACUCGACGAGUUUCUCCUGGAAGAAUCGCGGGGCCACCCCGACUCCACUCGCCGAGUCUGGCGAACUACUCGACGAGUCCCAGAUAUUCUUCAAGCUACUCGCCGAGUCUGUUCAUCAGACUCGUCGAGUCCAUGCUAUGCAGUCGAUCAAGCUGCUUCCUGGGACAGUUAUGGUUCCGAAAUACACAAGCAUGGAAAUGAUCCGUUUGAUUAACAAAGUAAUAAUCCAUCUAAUCACCAAAUGGGUUCCAUAAACCCUAGAUUCAUGCACACAUCAAUGUAGCAGAAAUGAUCCGAGAUAUUACCUGAAUAACACCCUCUCAGUGUCCCCAAACCUCAGAACUCGAUCUCCUUGAUAUUCCUUUGGCCAAAACUCUUCUUCUUCUUGCCUAACAAAUUCUUCAAGGCUUCACUAGCUUCCUCUCCUGCUCUUGACGUCCACAACGAUUAGGGUUCUUCUCAAUCGGCCAAAAGACUGACAAUGACGGCCUAAGAGGCAUUAUAUACGAUCCAACACCAAACGGCUAGGGUUUCUGCUGAACAGCGUUGACUCGCCGAGGCCAUAUCUGGACUCGUCGAGUCCAGUCGCGAACCCGCGACCAAGUCUGCGGUCCUACUCGGCGAGUCUAGGCUCCAACUCGCCGAGUCCCUUCUCAAAACACCCCUAAAUCAUAGUUAUAUCGAUAUUUGAAAUUCCGGGCUGUUACACCGGGCCCGGUCAGAACCUAAUUGAUGUGUUCAAUUUAGUCCUAUGUCAAAACAAAUCAGAGAUCGAGAAACAAAUGUUGGACAAUAAGUAAGACCAUGUUCCAUGUGUUUGUCCGGCUGAUAUCUUCAGAGCAGAGGAUUAUAUGAUCACUUAUCUUAAAUGGUGUAUCAUCAACAUCUCAGUUCCGAGAGACUUCGAAAGAGCUACGAUUGCUAGUUGGAUCCUAAAGUCAUAUCUACAAAUAUAGUUAUUAGACUUAUCCAAGUGGGAGACAUGGUCCAUUUGGGUUGCAUGGCAUUGCAAUACUUGGAUAGACUAAAUGUGAGAAAAGACACUUAUGAUUAUUAAUAUAUUAUAAGUUCUAAUAUACUAAUAAUAGUAUUAUUUAAUUAGUGUUUGUGACAACCCAAGUGUUCCCGUUACAUUUUCCCCGUUACUGCUAACGGAAUAUUCCGCUGUAUAAAAGUUCUGUUAGUUAAGGGGCGUCAAUUUAAUAAACAUUCCAUUUGUUUAUAAUUCCUAUGUCAUUAAGUCGUGAUAAAAGGGAAUAAAAACACAUGACACACAUUUCCAUUAAAUUGGAAAAUGUCAAGUUUUGUUAUUACGACCACUAAAUCGGGUGCGACCAAAAGCCCCGUUUAACGGCAGUAUCGGGUAAAAUACCACUAAGCCCCGACUCAAAAUCCUAUAUAAGGGUGAGUGGAGUCCAUUGGGAGACUUUUACACUCUCUCACUAUACUUUCUCUCUAGACCCGUUUUCGCCCCGAAUCCGCAACCAAACGCUUCCAAAUUGUAAGUACGCUUACCCUAGCUUAUUCUAAACAUUAUGAUUCAUGUUUAUAGACCAAAAAUCAGACAUAGAAGCAAUGGAAAAGGAGUUUACGGCCUAAGCUCUUCCUUAGGCCGUAAACACCUAAAACAAGGCCAAAAUGACCCUAAAAUGUCCCUAAAGGCUUGGAAAUAAAUUAAGGGACUUGUGUAGGAGUGUUUAAACAUUAAAUCACAUAGAUUUAAGGGGUAAAAGAGAGUUUACGGCCCAGGCAUAUGCCAAGGCCGUAAACCCCUCUAAAUGUGCCCAAAAGUGUGGUUUUUGCCCCCCAAAUGGCCUUACACAUUUACCAUAAAAUACAAGGAAGGAUUUAAGGGCUUAAACACAAGGAAAUAUGGGUGACUUGGAGUUUACGGCCCAAGCAUUUAUCUAGGCCGUAAACUCCCCAAAACCCAUUCAAAUGUUGGUUUUAAUCCCCCACAAUAGCACCACACUUCAUAAGAAAAUUAUAGAAAGGAAAUAGAGGCUUUAAACUUCCCAAAACUCUAAGGAUGAAAGUUUACAGCCGUAAACUCCCUUAGGGGUGGUCCCUUGGCCGUAAACUCAUAGAACAUGCCCUUAGAGGCCUCAAACCCACUCAUGCCUUUUGGGAAAAGUGCUUAGAAUAAAUCAAUGAACAAGUAGAAGCCUUAAAAUAACCUAGAACCCAUCACCAUGAGUUUACGGCCAUAAACUCUUGGUGAGUAGUCCCUGGGCCGUAAACUAGUUGAUAGGGGUUUAUUCUUGGAGGGUAAACUUCAUUCCUUAGCCAUACGCACCCUUAAACGCUACUCGGGUCACCCAAACACUUAGCCAAAGUGUUUUCUGCUCCUUUGAGCGUGUAUAUUUGUUUAAUUAGUAUUAAAUAUACUAAUUGUAUGUGAACAUAACAUAUGUUAAAUAGGUCAUUGAGUGUGUUCGAGUCCUUACGUGGCACCGAACGCCCAAACGGCACUCUCGUCGGACCUACUUACACCAUGUGAGUUCAUACCCCUAAAUGAACCUUUUAAAUGUUUUUACAUGUUUUAUAGGGGGGGGGGGAAUACAAGUUAAACAUGCCAGUUAUCAUAUCAAUCACAUGUGAUUGAUAACCCGCAUGCACCAGAUUUUUACCACUAAACACUGUUUUAUCGAGUAGGACGCUAUAAUGGCUUUUCAAUCGUUAUAAAUCUCUCACUUAUACUGUUUUAUCUAAAUUCAUCUUGAACUGAUUUAUGAAAGAUUUCCAUAGGUUUUCAAAUAUAUUUUACAAAAGAAUCCAAAUUACGAUUUUUCCCCGAGUAUAAAGGCUUUUCCUUAAAGUUUCCUUUUUCGACGUACAUGCUUACUUAUUAGUUACCGCUGCUUCGCUUUCACUUAUUUUAGAUUCCUACUUGAUAACUCUUUCCCUUUGUGAUACACUUAUACCUGUUAUUGUCUCUAUUUCACUUAUACUUGUAGUCGCUUAGACCUGAUAGACGCUCUUACUUCACUUAUUCUCGUCUCCACCCCGUGAUACGCUUAUACUUAUGCGACACUCUUACUUCACUUGUGACCGCUCCUAAUUCACUCUUUAGACACUCCUACUUCACAAGAAUCACUUAUACUUGAUACACUUAUACUUCACGAUUCUGUUAUUCGACACUGUAUGAAUUCACACCACGAUGAUACUUUUCCACUUGUUACACACUCAGUCGUAGUUAGAUGUAUGUCUGUGCUUAUAUAGAUAUAUAUAAGUAACGAUUGAAAGACUUAGGAAGGUUCGUCCGCCCUAUUUCCUUUUCUUCGUUUAGAUGUGGUCUGGUGGGAUCGGAUGGCCGUCCGAAGGUCGUUUGGUUCAUUAGUUAUAUACUAUGUAUAUGAGUAUGGACAUACAGAAAAUCCUAUAGUCAGUUCAGUUAAGAGUCUCUACCACUGGUCUACGCUUACAUUAGAAACCCACUCCCCUCUAGAAACACACUAUCCUCUAUUUGGGAUGCAUCUUCGGGACGCGGCCUUCUCCGUCGUCUAGUUGGUAACCAGAGUCUCCUAUAGGGAGAGCGGACAUUGUGUGUAUAGGCCUAUACGGGAUUGACAACCCCGCACCCUAACUGCUAGCUACAGUCCCGGCCUACCAAACCAACGGGUGACAAAUGUCACAUUAUAUAGACGCUUGUAGGGCGUUUGGAACACUAGUCAGUAUGGUUACAAGUAUCCCGGGUUACCUUAUAAUUCAUGGCUUUAAGGUAACGGUAUUUCGUCAACAAUUUACACUGUAUGCUGAUGUCACUUUUUCAGAGUCACAUUGUUUUGACCUUGCGAGAUGUACCUUUCAUUUGGUAUCGUCUGCGGUAAAUUUUCACUGUUUUGACCUUGCGAGAUGUACCUUUCAUUUGGUAUUGUCUGCGGUCUAUAUUCACUGUUUUGACCUUACGAGUUGUACUUUCCAUUUGGUACCAUCUGAGGUCUGUGUCUCUGUUUGAUAGACGGAACCAGGCGUGUUGUUCAUUCGAUACUUUCCUGGAGUCUAUGAUUCCUUUGCCUUAGUCAGCAGUCCUCACUGCUGAGGCAUAUAUUGUUUCCUUGUCGUCUGUUGCUUUCUUUAAUAAUCAAAUUCAGUAUUUUGAUAAUAAUAGCAAUUAAGGGAAAACUACUUUGCACCACAUUACACUAACCAGUCUUAGUAGAAGGUAACUUUUAUUAAAGAAAAUAUAGGAUUUUCUGGAAAGAACACUAAUACACUGAAAACACUUAAACUAGUACUUUAUAAAGUUAUUUGACUAAAUGACACUAAAUACUUAUGAACUCACCAGCAUUUGUAAAAAUGCUGAUACUCGCUUUUCAAAUAACUUGUAUUCUCAGGUCAGUAAUUAGACAGGUACACCCCCGGAGCUGUUGAUGAAGAUGGCUUAGUACCUUGCUGUAUUUAUUAUAUUUACUUGCAUACUUUGAAUACUUGUAAUGUAACCAUGUAAAAUUAUUACUAUUAAUGCAAUGUUUUGGUGUACUUUGAUUACUAUAUUCAUGUGUUGUGAUACUUGACAUGACGUCAUCCACCCCAGAACGUUUCCGCCGUUCCGGUUUUGGGGUGUGACAGUGUUGAUCAAGUAUUAAUUUAGAAUUAAUUUGGUGAUCAAGAUGAAACUAAUUAAAUAUGUACGGUUGAUUAUGAUAAUCAUCUAAUCUUUUAUAGUGGAUUAAUGAUCCGUGGUUUAUGGGUUUGGGUUAUAACCAUUUGGAGCUCCAUGGAUAGUUUGGGAGUCACAAACCCAUGGAUCAUUAGAAAGGAAGAGUAAUGACAAUUAACAGUAUUCAUGUGAAGACCCUAAUUAUGACAACACUAUAAAAGGGUCCCAACUUCUAGCAAAAUUGGUUACUAGUCAGUUCUUAGAGGGCAUAACCGAUUUUUGAGUGCAAGUGUAAUCUGUCAAGUUAUUCCAAGUCUUAUAGUGUUGUGUGAAGCAUUUGAGGCACAACAUUUGGGGUGCUAGGCUCACAAAGUCUUCAAGGAAUCCAAACAACAAACAAGGUAUGUAAUUCCAUCUAGUUUUGUUAUUCAUGUACAUAGGAUUGCAUGCUAGAAAUGAUAAAGAUUUGGAAAUCAUUUUGAAUGUAUAAUAGAGAAAACAUAGUUCCAAAGCUUCUAGGGUUCUAUGUGCACCUUAAGGAUGCUAGGAUGCUCAAAACCCUUCAAGAACUGCUUUAGUGAGGUUAUUAUGUUGUUAAGUAGGUAUAUAGAGUAUUAUUCUUAGUGGUUGACUAAGAAGACUCGGGAUAAUUAUUGAGGAAAGUAUGGAUAGGUGUUGAAGGUAGUAUUGGGCCCAUACUACUGGAAGCACAGAAUCCAUACUCAAAUCGAGGAAAAAUUUGAGGAUUCUAUGGGUUGGUCCAGGAAGAUAGCAUGGUUUGACACCAUGAUUUGUGGUAGUGGUUCCAUAUAUGUCGAUCUUUUAGUUAUGAUUGUUCAGGCACGAGGAUGGGUCUAGUAAUUAUUUUAGGCCUCGGUGGUGAUGUCAGUUUAGGUUUGAGUGGUGCAAACCUAGGUGAGUUUGUUGGUUCUGAGGUCUCUAGGUCCUUGGUCAAAGACACACAUUUGAGUCAUGAGACUUAAUAAUGAAAUGAUUGUUACGAUCGCCUUAAGGAUUAAGAUGAGUGGUUGACUGAUGGAUUGGAAUGUCUCUAUCUAUGGCGAGGAUUAUGUCCUUUCAGUGUUCCGAGUUUGGAGAACAUGCAAGCAGGCUUGUGACUGUCAAAGUUAGGAUGUAAACGCAACAUGGGGAUAGUUAGUUGCGGUGUUUGGCGGUAGUAUGACAUUGUGGGAAUAUACGGGAAGAUUGAUGUGAUAUGGAUGCCUAGUGAUGCGAUCAAGGGUCUGUUUUCUUUGGAUAUACGUCGGUCAGGUACCAGAUUGACGGUCUGUAUUGUAGACGAGGAACGUAUGUUUAGGAUAGUAAGUUGGUGUUUUGUUUACGCAAUUUCAUGAAAUCUUUAUUGUUAAAGGUGGUUAUGAUUGGAAAAUUUAUGAGGUAUUCAUCAUAGAAUCUUUUAAAGUUUGCUUUGUCCUUAUCUGCAAGAUCAUCUUGCGUGUGUUAUAUAGUCAAGAGUCAGGGAUGGUUGUACCUGGUUGAGCCAGUUUGAGAUAUGGUUCGGUUGGAACACCCGUGGGUGGUAGUUUGAACCAUAUGUGGGGGAGAACUAGGUAUUCUGCUUUGAUGAUCAUCGAUCUAUUUGAGCUUGUGGUUUCAGAAGAAUGGUUCAUAGGGAUCCGCGGUGCGGGUAUGCAGGAUUUUCGUUCAAAAUAUGGACAAGUCGGGGGUGUUGAGCAAGUGGCUAUCGGAUGUAUGUGUUCAGGAGAUGAAUGAUUUGUCUCUCAGUAGGAAGUAUUUGGUCAAGAAGCUUUUUGUAACCAUUGAUUCCUUUUGGCAUGCCAAUUAAUUCAUGGGGAGGCGCUAGGAUCGCUCAAGUUGAGUAUCGGUUAUUGAGGGAUUUGGUAGCUCGUUGUAUGGAUUGCUAUUUAUAGUCUAUAUUCGACAGUUGUUGACCGAUAAAUCAGUUUUAUAGAUGGGUAUGUUCAACUUUGCAUGGGUUUUGCAUCAAUGGAUUAAGUUUUAUUGCAUCCUUAAUCAUUGGUCAUCUUAGUUGAUCAUCAAAGCGGAGGUUCUUCGAAAGUUUUGAGUUGUGUCAGUUGAUGUUUAAUGGAUACGUCAACCUAUCGUCAAGUUCCAUAUGUUUUAUAUUUUCUUUGGUUUUUGGGUAUGUUUACCCUCAAUUGUGGUGUGGAAUUUCAGUUCAUAGCAGGCUCAAGUUUGGCAGUUGUCCAUGGUUAUUGGAAGUUCGGAUGUUGGGGCAGCGUUUUUUCAUUUUUCGAGGUGUGGCUUUGAUCUACAUAGAACCUAAUUCGGGCAUGUUAUGUCGGUAGGAUUUCAAGUGAAGUUGAUUCGACUAAAGUUUUGGUCACAUUUCUACAUCAACUUGGAAGUUUUCUCGAGCUAGCUAUGUAUUGGCAGGAACUGUUCAGUUUCAAUCAAGGAGUAGGAUCUAGUUUCGGUCGUGAUGGGUUUUGAGCAUUCUAACACUUCCUAAGUGUACAUGCAACCCUAAUAACCUUGGAUCUAUGUUUGUCUAAUUAUCAUGCAAAGUUUAUUUCCAAGGUUAUGUUCCUUUCUAGCAUACAUGGUGUAACAACCCGAAACUUUUCUUCCUCGCCGUAACCGUUCCGUCAAAACUCGUCUUAAGCGAAUUGUUCCGAUUUCGUCCUGAACUAGGUCAAUUAAGUCAAAACCUUUAUUUUGACUUGGUAAAUAUCCAAACAUGUUGGAAACAUGAGAAAACGUCCCCGAACUAGUAAAUUGAAAAAUUAUAGUUUUGACCAUAUCGGGUAACGACAACUUAAUCGGGUGCGACCAAAAGCAUCGGUUAACGUCGGUAUCGGGUAAAAAUUCCACCGUGUAUCCAAGUCAAACCAUAUUUAAAGUGAUUUAAGCCUCAUUUGAAGCUUUUUCACUCUCUCUCUAACCUCUCUCCUCAAAUCCAUCUUGUGAAGCCAAAAUCAACCAUUUCAGGCCUUAAAACACCAAGGUAAGCAUCCUAACUCCUAGUAUAACAUCCUUAGCUUCCAAUUUCGUAUUUAAAUCAUGUGUUAGGACGAUAAACAUGUGUUUACGGCCCUGGAUCAGCCUUACGCCGUGAACACAUGUAAUUGAGGUUUUUGAGCCUUAAAACCCUUCCAAAUCACCAUAGGAACUUAGAUAUGGCUAAAGGAAUUAUUGGAAUGGACUUAAAACACCUUGAAUGUCAAUUUUAAGGAGUAAACAUGAGUUUACUGCCCAAGAAUAUGCUUGGGCCGUAAACUGAUUAAAUGGGUGGUAAACUCCUCUUUUGGGUGUUAAAAUGCAACUUACACACCCCUUAGGCUUUGGAAUAAAUUAUGGAACCAACAAAAAAUCAUUUAGGGGCCUUAAACACAUCAUAAACACUCUAUUUGAGAGUUUAUGGCCAUAGCAUAUACUCUAUGGCCGUAAACUCCUAAAUGGAUGCCAUUUGAAGCCCUAAACUCACCCUAAGCCUUGUAAAAAUUAGUUGAAUCACUUGUGAUUAAUCCUUGGCCUUCAAAAUAAUUAAGUUGGAUGUGGGUGAGAGUUGACGGCCGUAAACUCUUAGUUUACUACCCUAAACUCUUCUAUUAAUUCAUAUAAUGAUUUAAUCCCUUUCAAUUGCUCAAAAACCAAAUCUAGCAACACCUAUUAACUGAUUUAAGGUCAUUUAGCUCAUAAAAACACCCACCCUGAGUUUACGGCCAUAAACUCAUGGGGAUGUGGUGUUUAGGCCAUAACCACUGCCUAAGUGUUUACCCUUGAAGAGUAAACUCUAAAUCCUAGUCAUUCAUGUCCUGAAACGUCACCCGGGUCACUUCAAACGCCCAUUUUGGAGUGUUUUCGCGUCUUAGAAUGUUCAAGUGUAUCUAAUUAGUUAUCUAAAUCUAAUUAGAUAUAUUUUGUGUAUUAUUUAAUAUUACAUAGGAACCUCGCUCGUAUUCAAGCCUCGGUUCAACGUUUAGCAUCCCAUUCGACACUUUCCGCGUCCGAUGAGUCCAUACCCCUACCCUUUUUCAAUGGUUUUCAAUGUUUACAGGGGCGGGGGAUACAAGCAAGAGUACAAGAAUAUCUUGUACUUAAACUUAUGAUUUUAGUUAAAUGGUUUUACACUUGUACAUUUCUUUAGAAUUGAAAACCUUUUAACAAACUGUUUUAACUUGCAGAGUUGUUUGUUUAAAAACCGAUUUUCAAUUCAUAUUAUAUAUUGUCAUAUUGUAUGCUUCACAUUUGAUUGUUCAUACUUACAUCGAUAGAAAACAUAAAACAUUGGAAAGUCUGUAAUAAAAUACCCUAGGCAUGAGUAUAAAAGUCAGACACCAUAAAGAACACAUAAAACUUCGGUAUGUCCUUAAUAAUACACCUAGGCUCGAGUGUAAAGGAUAACAGUCAUUAGAUAAUAUAGAACAUUGUAAUGUCCUUAAUAAUGCACCUCGGCUCGAGUGUAAAUGGAUAGUCCUCAUUAGAAAACAUGGAACAUUUGAAAUGUCCUUAAUAAUAACACCUAGGCCCGAGUGUAAAGGACAGGUACGUUAGAACGUAGUUAGUCAUAGAUACUACUUCCUUAGGCACGAGAAGGAAAGAAUAAUCUUAAAGAUUGGAGACAUGUCCUCUGUAACACUUCCUUGGCACGAGAGAGUGGAGGAAUAACCCUGUAACCAGAAUCUUCGGGAGGGAGAACAUGACUUGAUUGUAUAGAUCUAUACGGGACUGACAAUCCCGCACCUGGCUGCUAGCUACAGCGAAACCGAAAGGGUCAAAGGCGACGAAAGUCAUAAAAAGGAUAUUGGCCCUCGUCUGAGUCAUAUCUAGUCUGAGUAUGGUUAAGGACUCGUAAUCUAGAUUAUUAGCACUUCAGACUCAUUUACUAGCUUUAUGUAUGUAGUAAAGCUAAUGUACAUUUAGGGGUAAUCAGACUAUCAACACACACACAUUCAGGAAAACAUGGGGUUUUCCUAUGGAUAACAAUGAACAUAAGCAGAAUCGGUAACAGUUAGCAUACACAGAAUUGGGAAUAGUACACACACAGACAUUCAGGAAAACAUGGGGUUUUCCUAGGGAUAACAAUGAACAUAACCAGAAUCGGUAACAGUUAGCAUACACAGAAUUGGGAAUAGUACACACACAGACAUUCAGGAAAACAUGGGGUUUUCCUAUGGAUAACAAUGAACAUAAUCAGAAUCGGUAACAGUUAGCAUACACAGAAUUGGGAAUAGUACACACACAGACAUUCAGGAAAACAUGGGGUUUUCCUAUGGAUAAAAAUGAACAUAAUCAGAAUCAGUAUCAGUUAACUUAUACGGAAUCAGUAAUAGUUCACACUUUCACACAUAGGAAAUUAUAGGAUUUUCCUGAGUAACAGUAGUCCGUAACCAGAAAAGUGUAAUAAGUUAAAUAACUAAACUUUACAAAUCAUAAGAACAAUCAUGUUUUUAUUGUACGUCUUUUACAAUACAAUUUGGAUUUGGUAACUUAACUAUUAAGAAAAUAUGGGAUUUUCUUGGUUAAUGACUUUUUCAGGAAACUAAAGGAACUCGUUCUUUUCAUAAAACAAACCGCUUAUGAACUCACCAGCAUUAUGCUGAUUUUCAAACUGCUUGUAUUCUCAGGUUUUCGUUAGACAGGUAUCCCGUGUUCUUUUGCAGAAGACGGAGCGAAUGGAAAUCACGUCUUUCUUUUGUUUAAACUUAUUUAUCUAUGAAAACUUGUACUACUUUACUUUUCAACUGAUGUAAUGAAAUCUAUGUAAUGUAAUGUUUUGUGUUUUACUUCGCUUACUAUGUACAUUGGUUAUGAUAUUCACAUGAAGUCACCUCCGCCCCGAGACGUAUCCGCCUUCGGUUUCGGGGUGUGACACAUGGGGAACGAUUUUUCUUUGAAUGAAAGAUAGAACUACAUACCUUGUUGUUGAAAAUGAUCUUGAAACCUUGUGAGCCUAACACCCCAAGUGUGAUGCCUCAAAUGCUUCACACAACACCAAAAUGCAAAUGAGUAAACUAUGAGAGAAGCUUACACUUGCAAAACUCGGCCUAGCCCUCACUUGUUCAUGUGUAGCGAAUUUUGAUGGAGAAUGGGUUCCUGAUAUAGUGUUAACACCCCAAGUGUGAUGCCUCAAAUGCUUCACACAACACCAAAAUGCAAAUGAGUAAACUAUGAGAGAAGCUUACACUUGCAAAACUCGGCCUAGCCCUCACUUGUUCAUGUGUAGCCAAGUUUGAUGGAGAAUGGGUUCCUGAUAUAGUGUUGACACAUCUAGGGUUACACCAUGUAAACCCUAAUGUGUCAUGACUCUUCAUUUCCAUGACCCAUGGGUUUGUAACUCCCAUGGAGCAUCCUAUGGAUUUAACCCAACUUGAUAAUCCAUGGAGCGUCUUAGCCCACUAUACAAGUUAUUGAUGAUUUACAUAAUCAACCCGUAUAUUUAAUUAGUUAUCUUUUGAUCACUUAAUUAAUCCCAAAUUAAUUCUUGAUCAAACUAAUUAAAUAAUACUUAUUAAUAUAUUAGAACUUAUAAUAUAUUAAUAAAACACAAGUGUUAUUUCUCUCAUUUAGUCUUUCCAAUUGCAUGGUGCCAUGCAACCCAAAUGGACCAUGCCGGGUCGGGUCAAGUACAUACCAGAAAUAGUUAUGGACAUAGACACCUUAUCCAACAGUCUCCCACUUGGAUAGGUCUGAUAACUAUAACUGCAAGUAUGACUUCAGGAACCGAUAGACAAUCCUAGUUCUUUCAAGGUUUCUCGUAACUGAGAAGAUGAUGAUACGCCAUUUAAGAUAAGUGAUCAUAUAAUCCUCUAUUCUAGAUAUCAGCCGGACAAAUACAUGGAACAAUGUCUUGCUUAUUGUCCAGUAGUUUGUUUCCCGAUUUCCUAUUUGUUUGAGAAAGAACUUAAUUGAACACAUCAACUUAGUUCUGACCGGACCUGGUACAUAGGUCAAAACAAAAUCAUCGAGGGGCCCAGAUAUCAGCUUCUAAUCCAAGAAGGAACAGAUAAACUUUGACUCAUAUGUUUGUUCUCACUGAAUUAUACACAAAAGCAUGUUUUAUAACAUCGAUGCUUAACCAACUCAUAAGUAACAAAUCAUAUCUCUAGGUUUGAAGACUUAUGUGAUAUUACCGUCUCACGAUCACUCGAGAUAAAUUUCAUGAAGUGAUUCCAGUGAGCGUGGGUUGAGUCCAAUGCUCAUAACUUAUGAGCACUCAUGAGUGUUGUAGCCAUGUCCAACAACUUAGACCUCUGCAACCAAUCAUGACAGUCUUGAUUCAUACCUACUUCUGACAUCUGGCCGACUGUGGAGGUUCGAAUAAUAUGAUAUACCAAACAUAAUUAUUCUGGAACUCAAAACAUGCAAAAGAAAUAUAGUAAACGAUCGACAAGAGAUAACAACACUUUAAUCAUAAAUACAACACCUUUUAUUCAAUCAUCUAAUAUCAAUUACACUUUACAAAUUUCAAGGUUAUCUAACUACUAAAUCUAACAUCAGCCUUCAUUACUAUUCUCCGAGCAUGCUGGAGAUGCUUAACCUGAGUCAGUCCCUUCGUGAGGGGAUCUGUUGGAUUCUCAUUUGAUGAUACCCUCUCCGCCACGAGGAGUCCUUCUUCUAUUCGAUGUCUAAUGAAAUGGUAUUUUCUGUCGAUGUGUCUGGAUCUACCGUGAUCCCUUGGUUCCUUAGCUAAGGCAACUGCACUUUCACUAUCAUAGAAACUUUCCAUUGGCUCUUUAAUAGCUACUACAACUCCAAGGUCUCCAAUGAAGUUCUUCAACAAUAUUGACUCCUUUGCUGCCUCGCUAGCUGCUAUAUACUCUGAUUCGCAAGUUGAAUCAGCCAAUGUCUCUUGCUUGGAACUCUUCUAAGAAAGUUCUCCUCCGUUUAAGGUAAAGACGCAGCCAGACUGGGAGCGGAAAUUAUCCCUAUCAGUCUGAAAGCUAGCAUCACCAAACCCUACAACUCUCAAGUCAUCACUCCCACCGAGAGUAAGGACCCAGUCCUUAGUCCUCCGUAGGUACUUGAGGAUAUUCUUUACUGCAGUCACGUGUGCCUUGCCCGGGUUCCCCUGAUACCUGCAAACCAUGCUCAGGGCAAAGGCCACAUCAGGUCAAGUACACAUCAUAGCAUACAUGAUCGAUCCUACUGCUGAAGCAUAAGGUAUUCGACUCAUUUCUGGUAUCUCAGCCUCAGUACUACGUUUUUGUGUCUUACUCAAUCUGGCAUUACUCUGGAUGGGUAACUCUCCUUUCUUGGAGUCCUGCAUGCCGAAUAUCUUCAGCACCUUAUCCAAGUAGGUACUCUGACGAAGUCCAAUUAGUCUUUUACAACGGUCUCUCAAGAUCCUUAUCCCUGGAAUAUAGGCAGCUUCUCCUAGGUCCUUCAUAGAGAAACACUUCCCAAGCCAGGACUUAACUUCCUGUAGAGUUGGGAUGUAAUUUCCUAUGAGUAGUAUGUCACCCACAUACAAUACCAAAAAGCUAACUAUACUUCCACUAGCCUUAACAUACACACAAGAUUCAUCAUCACUCCUAGAAAAUCCAAAUUCCUUGACUUUCUCAUCAAAGCAAACAUUCCAUCUACGAGGUGCUUGCUUUAAUCCAUAAAUGGAUUUCGCAAGCUUACACACUCUAUUAGGGUACUCGUUGCUGACAAAACCUGCUGGCUGACUCAUGUAAACAUCUUCAGUCAACUUUCCAUUAAGGAAAGCAGUUUUAACAUCCAUUUGCCAUAUUUCAUAGUCAUGAAAUGCAGCUAUGGCUAACAUAACCCUAAUAGACUUAAUAUUGGCUACUGCAGAGAAGGUCUCAUCAUAAUCUAAUCUGGAGUUUGAGAGAAGCCCUUUGCAACCAGUCGUGCCUUAUAAGUGUGUACAUUACCAUCCAUGUCGGUCUUCUUCUUGAAGAUCCAUUUGCACCCUACAGUCUUACGACCUGGUACAUUCUCAACCAAUUUCUAAACUUGAUUGUCAUACAUGGACUGUAUCUCGCUAUCCAUUGCCUCUUUCCACUUGGUUGACUCAGGGCCUUCCAUGGCUUCCGCGUAAUUGUUAGGUUCUUCCAGACCUACUAGUGUCUCAUCACUAAUAAGUGUAUCACCUUCCGCGGUAAUAUGGAACCCAUAGUAAUGCUCGGGUGCAUUCCUAACUCUUGUGGAAUGCCUCAGAGGUAUAGACUCGUCAAUUGGCUCAACGGGAGUUUCCUCCUUAUGUUGAGGGCUAGGGUUGGAAGUUCCUUCACCACUUGACUCUUGAAGUUCUUCAAGAUUAAUUUGCCUCCCACUGUCUCCUUGCCUUAUAAAUUAUCUCUCACUAAAGACUAUUCUUCUUGCUACAAAGACCACAUUAUCAUUGGGUCUUAAGAAGAGGUAACCAAAGGAUUUCUGUGGGUAGCCAAUGAAAAUACACCUCUCGCUUCGAGGUUCGAGCUUAUCAUGAGUCUCGCGUCUCACGAAAGCCUCGCAACCCCAAAUCUUGAUGUGGUCUAGUUUAGGUACUUUACCAGUCCACAUCUCGUGAGGAGUUUUGGCAACUUUCUUUGUAGGGACUAGAUUAAGAAUAUGGGCGGCAGUCUCUAAGGCAUACCCCCAGAAUGAGAUUGGUAGCGAAGCUCGACUCAUCAUGGAACGAACCAUAUCCAACAAGGUUCGAUUACGCCUCUCAGCCACACCAUUCAACUGUGGUGUCCUGGGAGGUGUCAAUUGUGAGACUAUCCCACAUUCCCUUAGAUAGUCAAGGAACUCUGAACUAAGAUACUCACCACCACGAUCGGAUUGAAGCAUCUUAAUGUUCCUGCCCAAUUGAUUCUCGACUUCCUGUUUAAACUCUAUAAACCUUUCAAAAGUCUCUGACUUAUGCUUGAUUAAGUAGACAUAUCCAUAUCUAAUGUAAUCGUCAGUAAAACUCAAAUAAUAACGAUUAUCAUCCCUCGUGGCAUGUUUGAAGGGUCCACACACAUCCGUGUGUACAAGGUCCAACAAAGCUUCACCCCUCUCACAAGAACCAGUGAAGGGUGACUUUGUCAUUUUUCCAAGUAAGCAUGAUUCGCAACUGUCAUCUGAAUUUAGGUCAAAUGACUCCAAGACUCCAUCCUUUUGGAGUUGGCCUAUGUGUUUCUUGCUUAUAUGUCCAAGACGACAAUACCAUAAUGAUGCUUUAUCCAAGUUAUUAUUAUUAGUAGAAUCAAUACACAAUACAUUAUUUCCUAAGUUGUCUACAACAGACACAGCUUCAUACACACCAUCAAAAGGUAAUGCUUUAAAAUAAAGAACAUUAUUAAAGAAAGCAUUAAUCGAACCAACUUCAUUAUCAAAUGAAAAGGUGAAACCUUGUUUAUACGAUGCAUGAAAGGAAAUAAUAUUUCUUUCCAUUUCUAGAGAAUAGAAACAUUUAUUCAAAUCUAAACUAAACCCACCACUUAGCGAUAAAGUAUAAAC